UGCCUGUGUGUAGGUAGUAGGUUGUCAAUAUCCCGAAAUCCUCUGCUUCAUGUUAUUGUGUCAUCUUCGGCUGCUAUUUAGAGAACAAAACAAAACUCGUAAACAUCUAAAGAAUAUGGAUUUUAUCUUAUAAAAAAUACAAACUACAAAAAGGUUAUGGGUGGGGGUAGUUAGCGUGAUUUUUCUCGAUACUUUGUAUGAGUGUGUGUGAGUGGAACAGGGUUCUCAGUGAUAUAAAAUGUCAACCACGUCUGCUUCAAAGGGCGACUUCAACGUCGCUGGAAAAUAUCGUCUGGUACGCAAAAUAGGCAGUGGAUCAUUUGGAGAUAUCUAUCUGGCCAUAAAUAUUUCAAAUGGUGAAGAAGUUGCAGUAAAACUAGAGUCAACAAAAGCCAGACACCCACAGCUGUUAUAUGAAAGCAAGCUCUACAAGUUGUUAUCAGGGGGCGUAGGCAUUCCACAUAUAAGAUGGUUUGGUCAGGAGAAAGAUUACAAUGUUCUUGUCAUGGACUUGUUAGGACCCAGUUUGGAGGAUCUCUUCAAUUUUUGUGGUCGCAAGUUUACUAUGAAAACAGUUUUGAUGUUAGCAGAUCAGAUGAUUAACAGAAUUGAAUAUACACACAACAAAAACUUUAUCCACCGUGAUAUUAAACCAGACAAUUUUCUAAUGGGUAUUGGCAGACAUUGUAACAAGGUGUUCAUAAUAGAUUUUGGUCUUGCUAAGAAGUAUCGAGAUAAUAGAACUCGCCAGCAUAUCCCAUAUAGGGAAGACAAAAAUCUGACAGGAACAGCUCGUUAUGCCAGUAUCAAUGCUCAUUUAGGUAUUGAGCAGAGUCGGAGAGAUGAUAUGGAAUCUUUGGGUUAUGUUCUGAUGUAUUUCAACAGAGGACAGCUUCCUUGGCAGGGUCUUAAGGCAGCAACAAAAAAGCAAAAGUAUGAGCGAAUAAGUGAAAAGAAAAUGUCAACACCAGUGGAAGUUCUUUGCAAAGGAUUUCCUGCAGAGUUUGCCAUGUACCUAAAUUACUGCAGAGGAUUAAGAUUUGAAGAAGCACCAGAUUACAUGUACCUAAGGCAACUGUUUAGAAUCUUGUUCCGCACCUUGAAUCAUCAGUAUGAUUAUGUGUUUGACUGGACAAUGCUAAAACAGAAAGCUGCAGCAUCUUCGGCCUCGGGUGUUGCCAUGUCUUCAUUGGCUGCAAAUGCAAUGUCAGAUUUCCGACUUCCACUUCAGGUCCUUCGGCCUCCUGACUCAUUAUCUCCAGACUCACCAUCGCAUUACGUGUCCUUAAAUGAAGAAUUGUUAGAUGUAGGAGACUAAAGUAUACCUAUACAACUUACUAAAUCACUUAAUUUUAAAAGCAGCACCCAAGCAGGCAUGAAAUGAGGCUGUUAUUGAGAUCAAGUGACCAAUAGGCUUGGGUUGAAGUUCUGCUUUAGUUUGUCCACACACAAGUUGUACCUGUACAGAUAACACAUUGUUAGUUCAUUCCUACACACGUGUUACUUAAUUUCUAAUACUGUAUUUCUAAUUGUGUAAAUACUAUUUUUUUUUAUAUGACAAUAUGGAAAAAACUUUAUUAUAUAUAUAUAUAAUAAUGGGAAUUUGCUUGAACUUUUUUUUUUUGUUCAAAGUUUAGAAUUUUUGCUCUCUCUCUCAAUUUAAUUUCAGUAAUAUUUUUUUUUAAAAGCUAUUUCAUGGUCACCCUGUAUUUGUAGAGUUUGUUUAUUUUACAUGUUACACUCAUUAAUAAGGAUUAGCUUGAAGAUGUUGUUUUUUUUUUAUUCAAGGGUUGUGCUUAAUGAAAGUUGUUAACAAGUACAUGUUUUAAUCAUUUUGUUUUAGGCACUUUCUAUUAUUCCUAUCAUAUCAUCUGGUGUACUACAACAAGCCUUAUUCAAUCAAAAACUUUUGUCAUAACUAAAAUGGAGAGUAGCAAAAAUUAUUUACUUUUUUUUUCCUGAAAAAAUGUUUUAAUUAUUAAGCUUGUAAUGGACUUGUGUUCUGUAAAUCUCUACUAGUAAAAAGUAAUUCAACAGAUUUCUUACUAAAGUUACUCUAGUUAGAAGGAACUCUCUUUGAAUUGUACCCCUUUCCCACCAACUGGAUUCUGGGUGACUUGUAGGUAACGAAGUUUUGAAAAAUGAUUGUUAUCUCCUAUUCCUGCUAUGGAGUCUUCUUGUUUGUAAAAUACAGUAGUCUUUAUUCUUUUUUAAUGACAUUCACAAAUGUAGAUCUGUCUGUAAGGAAGAUAUUUACUAUAUUGUGUGUGUGUGUGUAAGUUUUAUUGUGAUCUUGGAAAAAAAAAAUACUGUAAAGAUAAUUUGCUUAAAUUAUCAAUACAAAAUUGCUUAUAUUUUUGUACUAACUUGUUAGGUCUUCAAGUUUGACAAUCAUAAACUCUAGUAUAAAUGUUGAAUGGCAUACCAUGUACAUUAUCAAGUAAAAGCACCUUGUAUACAGUUCUUCUUACUCUUUGGUGUUCUUUGAGUUAUCUUUAUUAACUCUAAAUGUCCAGUCUUCUUUUUCUUGCUUAAUUUUAGCUACUGUACUUGUUAUGGGAACAAGAUGGUAGUAUCAGGUGGAUGAUUGUUUUGCUGUGCAUAGUUUUUUCUAAUUAUUAUUACCUCAACCAAUCAAGUUCAUGCUUCCAUUCAAAGAAAAGAGGUACAGUUUUAUAACUAAAUAUUUACUUAAGAAACAAAAAAAAGCUUAUAUGUGAAGAUCUCUCACCCUGGUACUUGUGAAUUUGCCUUAAGCCCUAACAGUUUGAACCUAGUAUCAGCAUUGAACUAGCUUUACUCAACACAAAGUUGUUAUUGUUGUUCUGUAAAUACUACUUCCGAGAAAGUGAUGUACAGAGCCUUAACUAGUUGUUCUUUUCUGUUUUCAAUCUGUCUAUGAAUUCUGGUUUGGCUUUCACCUACACACUAUCAUUUUGUCUUCAUUUUGUACAUAGACUUUGAAUUACUCUUUGAGUUUUGUUUUUUAUCUUCCAAAUAUUUAGGCCAUUUACAGUUUUUUUUUUUUGUUUCUAUUUUUAAAAAUUAUUUUUAGACAUUUUUCAAUCUGUCUCUGACUUGUUAGAAGUGAUAAACUAACAUUUAUAUUUAUAUUAUUCUUCAUUUCUCUAUAUUAAUUUUCUAAAAAGAAUUUCACUCGUUUGUAUAAGUUGUAUGAAUUCUCAACUUUUUUUUUUUUGAUGUUCAAAAACCUGGCCAUUAUUUUUGUUGUUCUUUCUAACAUUACAAUUAGAUUGAUAGAAAUUGUGGGUGAAGUUUUCAUUGUAUUCAUUUUUUAAGAAAAUUAUGUGUGCAUGAUCUGAACUGAAUUAAAUCUGCAAUGAUUUUUCAAACACUUAUUCUUCUUUAAAUUAACUACUGCUCUUUCAUUUGAUUUAUCUGUGUCCAGUGAUAGCCAUCUCAGCUUUCUAAUGUUCCCUGACCUCAAAAAAUGCCACUAAAUAUUAACAUCAGUGAAUUUAAGCAUUAAGGUAUGCAUACGUGUAAACAAGUCAAGCUAAAGGCUGGUUUCUCAAAUUUGUAGCUUAAAAUAUGGGAUGCUUUGGCAGCUAAUGUUGACACAAUGUGAAGCAACUCUUUUGCAUGAUCUGAGGAUUUUGAUGUUAACUUAAAAGGAUCAUAUUCAUACUAGCGUACUUGAUUCUGUAUCUAACAUUUUGUAACACAGGAAGCAGAAGUCUAUAUCAUUUUAUUCAUUUAUGCCAAACAAAAAAAAAACAGAAAUAAGAAAAAAAAUUGCAAUAGAAAAUGUAUUUUGGUUUUAUUUUAUUGUUUUUAAAGCUUUUUUGUGGCCUAUGAUAGGUGAACAACUGAUCAAUUUAAUGUAUUAAAGAAAAAGUGGUUGAAUUUGUUAA
Biomphalaria glabrata is the source of this 3875-nucleotide RNA transcript. It is a transcript of the gene named casein kinase I, with no coding region annotated. The transcript has 10 exons. Lineage: Eukaryota; Metazoa; Mollusca; Gastropoda; Planorbidae. The record is from RefSeq and is a predicted model, not a curated record.